ACCCAGAGGAUCAAAGAACCUGCCACCUGGGUACAACCUUUUCUCUGGGUCAAGUUCUGCAUUUCUUUGAAACUCUAUGUACCCUAUCACUAUCACCUCAAUCCAGAUCAGUGUGGUCAAUGAAAAUGGAAGAGGAAGUCCCAGGUAAGAUGAUCCUUCCACUAGCUCUACCUGAAAAUUAGAGUUACAGGAGCCAAACAAUUAGAAUAAACUUAACAUGUUCUGUAUGAUUUAUUUGAGUUAAUUUUUUUUGCUCUGUUCAGAGACCAUGGCAAGAGGUUCCUAAGAGACGAAUUCCAGUUACUACUUGACUAUAACUCACUCAAGAAAAUUUUACAUAUAAAAAAAAUUAAAUAUGAUUCUUCUAUUAAAUAGUUAAGAUUUUGUGACUAGACCUUCCACCUUUGUGUUAGUCUUAUGGAUUUUUAAUUUAAUUUAAUAGUUAUGCAUUUUUCAGUAUUUUUCAUUAAUUAAAAAUUAUAAUCAAUACGAUUUUUAAAAUAAUUAUGAUAAAAAUGAACAAACUGCUACUAUAGAUGAUCGUUUGUAUAAUCAUGGAACCGAUUUUUGUGUAUCUUUCUCACUGAAUCAGCUCGUGCUUAAUGCUAUAUGGAACCAAUUUUGAAAGAAUAAUAUGUCAUUUUGAGUGGUUAAUACUGUUCAUACAAAAUCAAUUCUUAAUGUAAACUUGUCUAAGACUUAUAUGUCAUUUUGUCCAUUUAGGGAAUGAGGGAAACCCUACAAAAAGGUGUUAAACGCGAAAAACCAAAUAUAAUGUGGACUUUGUUUUAUCGUUCAUGGCCACAAGAGUCAUCAUCAUCAUCUUCAGCCAGCCAUAUAAUCGCACUACAGAAAUUAUAUUAGUACAAUUUUUUAUUAUAAAAAAGAUAUAUUAUGUAAAAAGUGAUAGAAAAAAGUGAGUGAGAUAAAAUAGUUAAUUUGGUGAAAAGAAAUAAAAUGUUAUAAAAAUAAAAUUUAUUUAUUUUAUUAAAAAUGUUUUUAUUUUGUUUAUUCAUUGAAAAUAAUAUAAAUGUGAGUUUAAAAUGAUUAUUAUAUAAUCAAAUAAUAAUCAAUUUAGCCUCUAAAUUACAUCUCAUAAUUACCUUAGUUCUUUUUUCAAUUAAGAACUGAAAUUUUUAGGAUUUCAUUCAAGUCCUUAAAAUUAAUCUCCCCCUCAUUUAGUUCUCUAAACAUAUUUUUCAGACUUAAUUGUAUUUUUGGUCCAGUAAUUAUCUUGUACAAUUUUUUAAAAUUAUAAUUGUGUCAAUUGGGUCCUUCAAGUAUAGCAAAUAUGUAAAAUCUCUUAGGUUUCAGUUGUGCCAAUUCAACGGGUUUCAAAACUGUACAAUUUUAGUCUCUUAAAUUUCAUCCUUGUGCCAUUAGACAAAAAUUUUACAUUUGAAAAUUUGUAAUAAUUGGGAAACUAAAAUUGCACAAUUCCAAUAUUAGGGGAUCCAGUUGAUGCAAUUGAAAUCUAAGGGACUAAAUCACAUAUUUACAAAACCUAAAGGAUCCAAUUUACAUAAUUGGAAUUUAAGGGACUAAAAUCGUACUAUUGUAAUACCUAAAAAAUAAAAAAUGCAUUUGAAAUUGGUAAGUGGAACAAAUGAUGCAUUUUUAAUAGGUUACAUGUUCGAGUCCCUUCUAUUUCUCUCUUUUGGGGAUGCUUGUUUUAUGAGAUUAUCUUACAUUUUUUGGAAUAUAAAAGCAAGAAUGUUUAAUCUUAUAUUUGUUAAAAUAUUUUUGGGUAUCUUUCAUUUUCAAGAAAGUUACAUCCUCAUGUCCACAUAGUUUUUAUUCUCAUGCUAAUGGGGAGGGAAUGUGACAAAUUAUUUUUAACUCCACAAUAACUUUCAUUUUUACUUUUAUUUUUCAUUUAUUAUUAUAAAACUUUAAAAAUAUUCCUAAAAAUGUUAAAAAUUAUAUAUAUAUAUAUAUAUAUAUAUAUAUAUAUAUAUAUAUAUAUAUAUAUCAAGAAAUAACAUUUCCUAAGAAUCCAAAAUAAUUUUGUGAAACAAACACUCCUUAGAAUGAGAUAAAUAUAAUUAUUUUCAUAAAUGUUCUUUAAAACCUAAGAUUUAUCCAACCUUACCAAUAAAUGAGAUUGUAAUUUUUGUUGAGGCUAAUAGUUACACAUUUAUAGUCUAAAAUAUAUAAUAUAUAAUGAAUUGUGAUUCAAUGUGAAUCUCAAAUGUAUAGUUUAUUUUUUCAAUGUUUGAAUAUUUUUUAAUGUAUUAAAUUUAAUCUUUUAAGAAAAUAUUAUAUUAAUUUGUUGUAAAUAUCUGGUUGCAUUAUAUGCAAGUCAGUCAGUGGAUAACAAUAAGACACGUCCUAGGUAUGUUACUGUUACCUUCACUGACAUGGGGACCAUGUUACGUUGUCCGUAACUCAUACACACAACACAACAAAACACCAUCAUCCCACAAAGUAAUAAGAAUAUCAACAUCGUCAUGCAAAUCCUAUUGUCCUGUCACAAAAGUUUCAGCAUCCAGGUUUCCACACGCAGAUAUCCGAUCACCGUGUCGUUAACGAAAGGAGAAUCAAACAAAUAAAAGCGUAAAAUCAUGCUAAAGAAUAAUAAUCACAAUUCUCAACCACCAAAUGUUCGAUAAAUUGCCUAAUUAAAAACAAUGCUGAGUUUCUAAAAAAUGGCGAAACCCAAAACAAACAGAGCAAAAGGGUAUUCAAAAGCAGAAUCUUUGCAAGGAAAGAGACAGUAAAACUGUAAAACGUUACCUUUCCGGCGUCUUGCCAUGCGACUCCCGUGAGAGCCUCAACGGCCAAAGCACCGAGAGAACCCAGCAUUGCCCACCUUCCAUGAAUGAGUUCGCACUCACGGAACCUCUGAAUCCCGAAAACCUCCGAGUAGGGCUGAAACGGCGUCGGCUUAACCUCGGCGACCUCCACCCUGGUUCCGAUCACAUCGCCGGCGAUGUUCUUCGCGAGGUUCUGGUCCAGCGAGUCCAGGUCGAACUGCAGGUACUCCGCGGGCUUCGCGAACCCGAACGGGUCGAACCCGCGGUCGCCGAUCAUGCUUCCAUCGAGCCACUCCGGCGGCUCCGCAUUCGGGAACCACACCAGCCGGUCUCCGGAGGGUUUCACUUUCACUUCCUUUUUCUUCGGCGGCGGCUGCGGCGCCGUCUUCUUUUUGCCGAAGUUCAAGAGCGCGUGGAAUCUUCCGUUGUUUAAGGUUGUCGUGUUAACGUUGUUGAGACGGGUGCCGAAAAAGUAUGACGUGGCGGCGGCGGCGGUGGCAGUGGCCAUGGCGGAGUUUGGAAUAGUAGUUACGUGUUUGUGGGUGGAAAAAGUGUGGGAAAGGGAUGUAUAUAUAUGUAAGUGUGUUUAUGUAUUUGUGUUUCAGUGUGGGGGUGAGUUAAUUUUGUGAUGGAUGGAGUGUGUGAGCAUAAAAUGUGGCUUAUCUCUCAGCCUUAUCUGCAUGGUUGUGCCUGAAUGGUUGGUUGAUUGUUGCUUCACAUUUAUUCUGUGGACCUCAAGGAAAAACACCAUUUUUUACAUUUUCACAUUUUUGUUGGUUUCCUUUGAUUUAUUUUAUGCUAAGAAAUUAAAAACUUAAAAAAAACAAACUUGUGUUAGCAUUAUCCUUGCGUGUAUACACUGUAUUCACUAUUCACAAACAUAACAUCAGUUGCGUAAGUAAUGCAAUUUUAUGACACUAAAAUUCAAAUUUGGAAACAUCAGGUCAGGUCACUAUGAGAAGAAAUUUAUUCAAUCUAUCCCUUUGCCACCAUUAUAAUGCGAUUUAGUGAAUCUAGCUUAUGUUAAGCAUGAAAUAUCAACUAGACAUUGUUUAACGCAGAGACAAGUAAACAAAUUUAUGAACAGUCUUGGUAUAAAUUAUGACUAAGCUGCAUUGGUGACGAACACAGAUGUUUACAAGUUCAGAUUUUGAAUGAUGAUGACAAAUUUAAAAUCUUCUUACAAAUACUUACUUUUUUGGUAGCAUAUGGGGGGUGUUUUACUGUUUUAGGCUUAGUUUUCGGUAGCAGGGAUUAUCAUUGUAUUUGUUUCUUUUUGUUUGUUGUCUGGUUUGUUAGGGUCAGGUUAUUCUGGGAAUGGAACUGUAGUUGAGUACCUUUCUCUGUUUAUAACUUGCUCCCUUUGGUUGUAUCAUAUUCAUAGGGUAUUUCUUGUACCCUUUCAUCUAAUAUAUAUUCCUUUGUUUUUGCUGAUAAAAAAAAAAUAGCACCCAACUAGGUAAUCGCAAGGUGAUGAUGCUACCCGAUGUAAGACUUUUGUGCCUAGUGGUAUUGUGGUAUGUGAAACAGGGUUGAAAUCAUGAAAGAGCACUUUUAUUUCUUCAAUUUUCACUUACAUUACCCAGCAAGGGAAGUGAAAUCCAUUUUCAGUUAGCUUUAAGCUUUGCUAACAUGAAAUAACUUAAGGGGGGAAAAGAAGACGAAAUAUGAACUUUUGUUUAUUUGCAAUUUUAAUCCCGUUCAUUUUUCUUCGAAAAUCAUUUGAACAAGUAUUGUGCAAUUAUAAAGAACAUGAUGCAGGUAUAGUUAAUGCAUCGUUAUUUAUAUGUAUUUCUAGUCCUUCAUAAAGUAUAAAUGAAUUAGACUAUCUUACCUUUUCUUAAUUAUUUUCCUUGUUAUAUAAGAAAAUCCUUGUUAUAUAAGAAAAUCACUAGAAACUCCUUAAUUCAUGCACAGCAAGGUUUAAUUUUGGUAAGAGAGCUGCAAAUGGUUCAAGGCAGAAAAUAAAGCAGAGUAAAUUUCAAAUGUGUAAGGUACAAAUGAUGACAGUUCAUAAUAAUUAACAUAGUUUGAUAGUUUCAAUUUUUUUUUAAAAAAAAGACUAAGCUAUUGUUCAGAGAUGGCCCUUUUACCCUGAACUUUUAAGUCAGUUAAAUAUACAAUGAUGUAUUGUUCAUUACAAUGUUCUAAUUUCUAACUAAAAGUCUAAAACCAAGUAGUCUGAUUGUAAUCUCGUUUAUCAUCUCUGCUAUGAGUAUAUCAUUUGUUGCAAUGUGUCAACUAAUGUACGUGUUUUACACGAUUUUUUAUUUAUGUGCAAUAGUGAGUUAUUGAAGUGCUUCCUCUGUUAAUCUGUUAUAAAGCACAGUGAGAAUUUAACGGUUUACUUGCUUUGUGUGCGAUCCGUUUGUCAUGAUGCUUGAUUACAAACACAACAUUCAUUUCAUUUUUUAUGUCUGCAGUUUUUCGUAUUCUUUUUUCCCCCUUGUUUAAAGUUUAAGAGAAACAGUUACAAGGGCAUCACUAUAUCAAAAGCUUCACAUUGACAAGGAAAAAGAACUGCAAGUGCAUUGUCUGCAACAAGUAAGAACAAGCACAUAAAGUUGUGGUGAUUGCUUUUUGCUCCUUUGUCCUGGAUUGCCUGCAGUACCCUAUUUCUCAUGAAUCAGGUAGUUGAACAGAUGAAGAAAUCAACAUUAUUGCUGGGAGGAGGAACACCUUCAAAUUGUUGUUGACUUGCUUCUUGUUUCUUUUGUAUCAUGGUUUGUAUGGUAAUGUUAUAGCACGUGAUGAUGAUAGUACUAUGGACUUUUUUUUGCUCACAGAUUCUUGUCUUGUCUGGCACCACAUAUAGAUAAAAAAGCGAU
Molecule: long non-coding RNA, 5584 nt
Filed under: Glycine max (soybean)
Lineage: Eukaryota; Viridiplantae; Streptophyta; Magnoliopsida; Fabales; Fabaceae
Description: long non-coding RNA (GMAX_LNC002546)
Source: RNAcentral